GGAUGCGAUCAUACCAGCACUAAAGCACCGGAUCCCAUCUGAACUCCGAAGUUAAGCGUGCUUGGGCGAGAGUAGUACUAGGAUGGGUGACCUCCUGGGAAGUCCUCCUGUUGCAUUCC
RNAcentral lists this ribosomal RNA (119 nucleotides) under Aegilops tauschii subsp. strangulata. Lineage: Eukaryota; Viridiplantae; Streptophyta; Magnoliopsida; Poales; Poaceae. The record is from RNAcentral.